Molecule: ribosomal RNA, 389 nt
Filed under: Stramenopiles sp. MAST-1C
Lineage: Eukaryota
Description: partial small subunit ribosomal RNA
Rfam family: Eukaryotic small subunit ribosomal RNA
Source: RNAcentral
AUUCCAGCUCCAAUAGCGUAUAUUAAUGUUGUUGCAGUUAAAAAGCUCGUAGUUGGAUUUCUGGUGGGAGCGGCCGGUCCGCCGCAAGGUGUGUACUUGGUUGUCUCCUGUCAUCCUUGUGGGAACUGCUCUGGCAUUAAGUUGUCGGGGUUAGGGAACACAUCGUUUACUGUGAAAAAAUUAGAGUGUUUAAAGCAGGCUUAUGCCGUUGAAUACAUUAGCAUGGAAUAAUAAGAUAGGACUUUGGCGUCUAUUUUGUUGGUUUGCACACCAAAGUAAUGAUUAAUAGGGAUAGUUGGGGGUAUUCGUAUUUAAUUGUCAGAGGUGAAAUUCUUGGAUUUAUGAAAGACGAACUUCUGCGAAAGCAUUUACCAAAGAUGUUUUCAUCA